GUCCCGUGACGCCGGCGGUGGCGGUGGCGGGGAAGACGGCGGUACUGCCCUGCAACAUCACCACCAAAACCGACGACUCCGUCCAUCUGGUCCUGUGGUACCGCGACCACGUGCCUACACCCAUCUACAGUUAUGACGUACGGUCGGGUGCGUACUCGAAACCAAAGGAGUGGGCGGAUCCUGAGUUGCUGGGAGAAAGAGCUCACUUCAGCAUGACCACGAACCCGGCAGCGCUCGUUCUUAAUCAAACCCGGAGAGCCGACCAAGCAGUUUAUCGCUGCAGGGUGGACUACAAGCGGCUCACCACCACCCAUGCCAGAGUCAACCUCACCGUUAUAGAGCCAGUUACCAGUGUGAGGAUCGUAGAUGAGAGUGGGCUGGAGCUAGUUGGUGCUGCCGGCCCCUACACAGUGGGAGAGCGACCCUCCCUCACCUGCCGGGUCCAGGGAGGCGACCCACUACCUGCUGUCACCUGGUGGAGAAGUGGCCGCCUCCUGGACAACACAUACCAUCAACAAGCUCCCCCUAGCUCGAGACAGGGGGGUGUGGUGGAGUCGGCACCCUUAGUUGUCAACACGAUACACCUGAGAGCGCUGAAGAAGGAGGACCUGCGCUCUAUGUACUCCUGCCAGGCCACCAACCACGACCUGGCGCCAACCAGGGAGACUGCUGUGGAAUUGGACAUGAACUUCGGGCCUGAGAGCGUGGAGGUGAGAGGUCUGGAGGGCCCUGUAUCAGCUGGUCGGCCACAGCAGGUGGUGUGUGAGGCCAGGGGAAGUCGACCUCCAGCCACACUCACUUGGUGGCUGGACGGUAGCAUGAAGAAGAGCGUCUCUCACAUGACGUCGCUGGAUGGUCUGGUGUCGACGAGCACUCUGGAGCUUCUCAUAGGACCUGAAGAGGAGGGCUCCAAACUCACCUGUAGAGCAGAGAACCGGGACCUGCCAGCCACCACCAUUGAAGCUUCCCACCAGCUCCAAGUUCUAUAUCCCCCCGAGGUUCACGUGGCCGCAGGACCUUCGCUGGACCUUGACCACAUUAAGGAGGGUGACGACGUGUACUUCGACUGUAUCAUCAAGGCUAGACCAGACGCCCACAAGAUCAGCUGGAGCUUCAACGGCCUGGAGCUGCAGCAGAAAAUAAACGUAGGAGUGAUGGUGGUAGGCAGGUCGCUGGUGCUGCAGAAGGUGACGAGGAAGCAGGCUGGUAGUUACACCUGUUCUGCCACCAACACCCAGGGUCAUAACACCUCGGCCCCCAUACUGUUGUCUGUUAAGUACUCACCUGUGUGUCGCGUGGAGCAGACGGACGUGUAUGGGGUCGGACGACACGAGAAGACGACGGUGACGUGUCGUGUGGAGGCCGACCCUCCCGUCACCGCCUACCGCUGGGCCUUCAACAACACCGGAGAGUUUGUUGACAUUCCAAUAUCACAUUUUGACAUCAAAGGUGAAGGGAUCAGAUCCCAGAGGUCAGACCUGCGGUACUCCCCGGUAAGCGACCUGGAUUACGGCACCUUACUCUGCUGGGCUACAAACGCCGUGGGCACCCAGCGAACACCCUGCACCUUCACCGUGUUCCCAGCAGGCAAACCUGACGUGGUGGGCUCCUGUAUGGUGUUCAACGAGACGGAGGAGACGGUGAGCGUUUCUUGUGAGCCAGGCUAUAGUGGAGGCGUCGACCAGAGUUUCCUUAUCGAGGCUUGGGAUGAUGGUGUGGUGAGAGCGACAGACACGAGCGAUACGCCUUUAUUACAGGUCACAGGUCUGCGCCCCGGGACCCGCUAUACGCUGAAGGUGUUCGCCGUCAACGCCAUGGGCCGAUCCCAACCAUAUAUCUUUACCGCCUUCACUUUAACAGACGUCGCCGAGAGACGCACAGCCCUGGGUACUGGUAAGCCCGGGGAGCCCUUAAGCCCUAUCGUCGGGUCAGUGAUCGGGGGGGUAUCUGCUGUGGUCCUGCUGCUGAUCAUCGCUCUUGUGGUGGCCAAGUGCAAGAGACGUAACUCCCACGAGGCCCACAGCCUGCGGGAGAGCGGCAGCACUGGGGACGUUGGCUACAAGUCCUGCGGCAAGUCCGACACCCGACAAGAUUCAGGCCUGACCGACACCACGGAGACUCACGGCCACUCCGGCCCCGACCUGGUCUCUGCCUCGCAAGAGUCGGCCUUGAUGACCCACUCGCACGACUCCACCACGCCUCUUAUAGGAAACGGACGCAUAGUUCAAGGACAGGGAAAACAGGAGCAGCAGCUGUAUCAACCUCAACAGCAGCAGCAGUCACAGCCACAACAGCAGUCACAGCACUACCACUACCCGGAACAGCAUCAACAGAAGCCACCUCAGCAUGUGGUGAUGUUGGAUGCUAACGUCGGGGCUGGUGACUCUCCUUACUACCGGGAUGACAUGUUGAUUGAAGGAGGUGGUGUUAGUGGUGGUAGUAGUGGUGGUGGUUCCUCCCUGCCCUUCCAGCCUCAGAAAGUCACCUACGUCCCCGUCUACGACUACCAUCAUCACCCACAGCCUCAGGUUGCACUUUGUAUAACGGGACCAUUUGGAAUGCGUGGUCGCGGGGCGCGUUUGUGAAAUUCUGAAGUCUACGACGUCUGCUUACAGUCUUCCACACACCAUAGUAUUAUUUCAUAAUAUCGAAAUUACUGUUCCCGAGGAUAGAAACUGGAAAUACAUUAGAGCUUAAACUGAAUACUACAGAUCAGCCUCCAGUGUGGAAAAGGGGAGAGACAUUUACUCUUAGUAACAGUUGUGUUGUGGCUAACACAAUAUAAGAAGCUUUCAUUAAACAGGCGGGAUUUUGAGAAAUUAUGAAACGCAUCAAAGAUGGAUGUGAACAACACGUAAACUUUCUAAUUUUGUUCAUACAACUCUUAUCGUGACAGACAUUUUAUCAGAAGCCAGUUAAGGGAACAGACAUCGUGACUGUCGUCCUGCUGAAAUACAGAAAAGUUUUGUAUGUGUAGCCAUAGUACAGGACGCAAUCAAUAGUUAUAUGGAUCCAUUUGAUAUACAAGAUAAGGACUAUCUCUACAGUAUUUCAUCAGGAACACGAUCACCUCAUGAUAUAAAAAUAAACGUUAUGAGGGUAGAAGCUGCUGGCAAUGAAUCAAAGGAGUUAUUUAUCAAGAAAAGGCUUGAAAAGAGAGACCACUUCUUUGACCCAAUAAAGAAACCCAAUCUGAAAACCACAGCAGAUAUGAGUGAAAAGGUGAAGGUUAAGACCUGAAGAAUUAAACUAAUAGAGUAUAGGGAACAAGGCAGCAUAUUAUUUCAAUUACUUGUCAUGUCUCAAGCAGAAGGAAAUAAACUUUUUGAGAGAAUUAAUUACUUAUCCUCUCACUCCACUUCCAUAUAGCAUUGGAACAGCUGAUAGUUUCCUCUCCAAAACCGACAAAUGUACAGGAUUUAGUUAUUUAACGAUAUAAUUAGACCAUGUCAUGACACCACCAGAGGAAGCAACUCUAUUUAUGAGAAAGACAGCGGAGAGGGUGUGGUGAAAACUCAUCAUUAAGGGUGAUAAAACAAAACAAAAAGGUCUUCAAAAUGGAAAGUUGUUCCUCUGCAAUGAUGAAAAUAAGAAACAGUUCAUUCAAGUUUUGUAUGCUGUGUGGAGUUCUAAUUCAUUUGCUGUUAAUCUCCAAAAUAGAUAUUUGUAUGUAGUAGGUAGUAGACAGCUACCAAACAGGGAGGUACUACCGCCUGGGAAGAUAUUGGAAGCAUAUUGUGUUGUCUAAUGGUAGACCCUGCUGCCAUA
RNAcentral lists this unclassified non-coding RNA (3768 nucleotides) under Homarus americanus (American lobster). RNAcentral describes it as "nephrin-like, transcript variant X4". Lineage: Eukaryota; Metazoa; Arthropoda; Malacostraca; Decapoda; Nephropidae. The record is from RNAcentral.